Triticum dicoccoides is the source of this 1810-nucleotide RNA transcript. RefSeq lists it as uncharacterized. The record is from RefSeq and is a predicted model, not a curated record. NCBI's taxonomy places the organism in Eukaryota, Viridiplantae, Streptophyta, Magnoliopsida, Poales, Poaceae. The transcript is spliced from 5 exons.
UGAGAACCCUAGCCUCCCUCGGUCCCUCCUCUCCCUUCGCUCUUGCAGCGGCCCGCCUCCCACAUCCUCGCACCGCCCCCGCUGCUCUCCCUCGCGCUGCCCCGCCGCCCCUGCCGCUCUCCUUGCGUCGUCGCCUCCGCUUGCCUCGCCAUCGCUCCCUCGGUGCUUAGCAGGGGGAGCGCGGGUCACCGUCGGCCCUCGCGAGAGGUCACCUCCCCCGGUCAACUCUGGCCACCUCCACCACCACACACUGGCAGGAGCCCACCGCCACUCAUCCUUCUCCUCCAUCGCAUGGUCAUCACCGGGAGGGGGAGUGGCUCUGCCUGGAGGCGUCGCUAUCGGCUGGAGGAGCGCCGGACCAUCGUCUUAGGGUUCAUGCACCUCUGGGAAGAAGGUGAACCGAGGUGAGUCGCCUCCAAUCCAUUGUGCGAAGUCAGCAGGGGCUGGAUCCCAACGGGCAAAGAUGCACUCCUCCAGAGCUGCUGGGAAGAAGAAGAAGAAGAUGGGAAAAUAGAACAAUUUCAAGUUUGGUUAUCUCCAUGUGGAACCCCUACCGCGUGAUGGCCUGAUUGUGUUGUCCUGUCUCCAUGAGCAGGAGGUAGUAAUUCCCAAGCUGCAGAAAAUCAAAGAUCAAAUCGUUCCAUGUUUUGAUUAGGUAGGAGCAAGAGGAAGGAGUACCUCCAUGCUCUUGGUAGUACCUCCAUGUUGCAAAUUCCGAGGCACUACCAAUAUAUUGCACUAUUACUACAACUAUCUGGCAAGCUUCACGAGUGAGUACAGAUUGACGGUUAUUACCCGGCAAGCAAAUCCACCUCUGCAGCUAUGCUUGGUAGCUCAUUCUCAAGUGACUUGCAAUCUCUGCUUACUGAGUUAUUGGUGUUAAUUCUACUUCUGUUUGAGCAUUUUGUGUUUUAUUUGAAGCUUUGAAUUAAUCCAGCAUUAGCUUUACUAAUAAUAAAUUUGUUUGCCGGGAGCAGUUUGAACAAGCUUGCAACUAGAGUGUAAAAUAAAUUACCUACACAAAAGGCAGAUGCAGGCCGUCACCGGCGGCUGGCAUUCCCCUCCUCGAGCUGGCGGACUAAUGAUGGAGGACUGCCCCGUGCUCCAGCCACAUGCCACUGGCCCGUGCUUGUCUUGCCUACCCCGUGCUUGUUUGCCCUCUUCGCUCCACCGGCGCCGCUGCUUCUGCUUCUGCUGCUCGCUCGCCAACGGCAGCACAGGUCCGACUUCAAUCUGCUGAUUUCUGUCUGGUGAAGCAAGCAAGUGAGCUGACAAAAUUUCUGUCUGGUGGAGUAGUUAACUGAAGAUAACUGAUUCAGUUAGUGACAAAUUUAGUUAUUGACUAAAUUCAGUAGGUGAUCUAUGUCUGGUGAAGCAAGAAGGUGAUUUAUGUCUGGAGCAGUUAACUGAAGAUUAAUUGGUUCAAGCAAAAUUAGUUGAUUCAAGCAACAAUUUCUUCCCCUGCUCCUGCAAGUCCAUCAAUGGUUGCUGGUGCUGGUGAGAUCUCUCUUCAAAAUGUGUUGUUGAUGGUGCUGAUUUAUGCAAGCCCAUAAGUUCUUGUUGCUGCUGAUUUAUGCAAGCCCAUAUGUUGUUGUUGCUGCUGAUUUAUGCAAGCCCAUAAGUUCUGUUGCUGCUGAUUUGUUGCUGCUGGAAAUGUGUCAUAAUGUGUUGUCACAACACACUGCUUGAUGCACUGUCUGGAGUAGUAACACUGCUGGAACCAUAUUUUAGUCCUCUAGUCUAAGUAGCAGUUCAAAAUUCAGUUCAAGCAGCAGUCUUAGCAGUAGUAAUGGUUGCUUGAUCUGUUUCA